UUAAUGAAUUUUAUGGCGGAAUUGUAGCUGGCCCCAACCGGGCAUGUGCACAUUCUGUUCAUUCCAUUCUCAUACACCUCUGUGCACUUUACAUAGGUUUGGUAUAGAAAAGGUCUUUAUUGACUUUGGAAAUACUGACCUAUGCUUUUAUAAACGCUUCAGUUUUAGAAUGUCAUCCGCGUAUAACGCAAUAAAUACAACUUUCAGCAACGGAUCUCUUGGCUCUCGCAUCGAUGAAGAACGCAGCGAAAUGCGAUAAGUAAUGUGAAUUGCAGAAUUCAGUGAAUCAUCGAAUCUUUGAACGCAUCUUGCGCCCUUUGGUAUUCCGAAGGGCAUGCCUGUUUGAGUGUCAUGGUAUUCUCAAUACCCCAAAUCUUUGCGGAUAAGGGUGUGUUGGACUUGGAGGUUUUUGCAGGUAAUGAUUGUAUUACCAGCUCCUCUUAAAUGCAUUAGCAGAGAUAAUACUGCUACUCUCCAGUGUGAUAAUUGUCUACACUGUUAGUAGUGCGGUAUAACAAAAUGUCUAUGCUUCUAAUCGUCUUCGGACAACUUUUGACAAUCUGACCUCAAAUCAGGUAGGACUACCCGCUGAACUUAAGCAUAUCAAUA
This 609-nucleotide ribosomal RNA is filed under the name fungal endophyte. RNAcentral's name for it is "eukaryotic LSU rRNA". The stretch from base 199 to 352 matches the Rfam family "5.8S ribosomal RNA". The record is from RNAcentral. Lineage: Eukaryota; Fungi.